UAGGCCUAUCUACCACCACCAAAAAAGUAUAAAACCUUUAGAUUUAGGUAGGCUCACAAUGAAAACUGUUAGAUCAAAGUUCAAAAGGCCCUUCUUUAUUUGCUUCGUUUGACAAAUAAAAGCACAUUGCUUAGUACUCUUCAUCUGAUAAGCUUUUACAUAGAAAGAUGAUAAAUAUACUUUGUCUAAUAGAUGAUAAGCCUUAAGCAUUUCAUAGUACAUAUAAAAGAUUUUAAAUGCUCAUAAUUUGUGUGCAGGGAAUGCUUGUCUCUUCAUUUCUUUCAAGAGAAUCUUGCUUUGAAGUGUCAAUAUCAAGAUCUCUUGAAGAGAGUACUUAAAGCCGAAAACAACUUCUCUAAAAAGGUGGACAGUUAGUGCCGCAGAGUCAACAAUCUAUGUCCCAUGCAUUUUGCUAAAGUCUAAAGAAGCUAUCUGACUAGAAUUGAUAAAUCAUGUGUAAAAGAGGCCACAUGCAUUUAAGUAGUGACACAACUCUUACAAUACUUGUCUCAAUGCUUUCAAGCAAUCCUAAGUCUUCUAUGUAUGAGAAAAGAACAAUGUUGAUGUUCAUAGCUAACUAAAAGAGUGCUCUCAAACUUUUAUCUAUCUUAGGAUGCUAAUCUCUUUUAAUGAGCAAAAACAUUUGGAUCUUUUAGAUCACAAACUUUGUUUAUCGAAGUGUGGGUCCAAACAAUGCUCAUGCUUAGCUAGAAGUGGCUUUUUCCAAACAAUACUUGUAGUUUAGCUAGAAGUGGUUGGUUCUAAUCAGUCUUGCAUGAUAGGAUCUAAGGUAAGAGGAUAGAAGGAAGAAGAAAUGAGAGAGCAGUUAAGAAAGAUGGGAAAAUGAGAGAGCGGUUAGGAAAGGCGGGAUGGGAGAUCUUAUAUAAAUAAAGUUCUAUUCAUUGUGAGAGAGGAGUUUUUUUGAAUAUUAUUUUGUAAAUCUGGACAUUGGCCAGAAGAGGGGGAUUAGGCCUCCAUUAGCGCUAUCAGUGUACUUUGUUCUCAAUAUCAAUACAGAAAUCUAUUCUUUCUUUGUUCUUUUGAUUACUGUGAGCGUUGAUAGUUAGGUUUGCAACCUAGGAACCUAACAUUGCAUCUCAUGUUAGUGUAGACUUGAUCGGAUUGAUCAAGAACUGGAUGUAGUUUGUGUUUUAGACGAACCAAUAUAAAAAUACCCUAUGUAAAUCUC
Molecule: small RNA, 1189 nt
Filed under: Vigna angularis var. angularis
Lineage: Eukaryota; Viridiplantae; Streptophyta; Magnoliopsida; Fabales; Fabaceae
Description: Non-protein coding transcript
Source: RNAcentral